AACGAACGCUGGCGGCAGGCCUAACACAUGCAAGUCAAACGGGGUAGCAAUACCUAGUGGCGCACGGGUGAGUAACACGUGGGAAUCUCCCUUUCAGUACGGAAUAACAGCGGGAAACUGCUGCUAAUACCGUAUGGUCCCUUCGGGGUAAAGAUUUAUCGCUGAAAGAUGAGCCCGCGUCAGAUUAGCUAGUUGGUGGGGUAACGGCCUACCAAGGCUACGAUCUGUAGCUGGCCUUAGAGGACGAUCAGCCACACUGGAACUGAGACACGGUCCAGACUCCUACGGGAGGCAGCAGUGGGGAAUAUUGAACAAUGGGGGAAACCCUGAUCCAGCCAUGCCGCGUGAGUGAUGAAGGCCUUCGGGUUGUAAAGCUCUUUAGGGUGGGACGAUAAUGACGGUACCACCAGAAUAAGCCCCGGCUAACUUCGUGCCAGCAGCCGCCGUAA
This 449-nucleotide ribosomal RNA is filed under the name uncultured bacterium. RNAcentral describes it as "partial 16S ribosomal RNA". It matches the Rfam family "Bacterial small subunit ribosomal RNA", at positions 29 to 523 of the family's 1533-position model. The record is from RNAcentral.